GCGACAAGGAGAGCGAGGCGCCCGUGAGGACCGGAGGGGUAUGGAGAGAAACAGAGGGGAAGAAGGAAGAAGAGGAGGAGGAAGAGAAAUCAAGAGUUAGUAAAGGGCUGGUGACUCCAGCUUCCGAUCUUUCUCUUCUUUGAAAUCAGUGUCCCCAGGGCCGCUGGCCCCCUGGAUGCCAGGGUUUUAGGGAACAGGAUGGCAGUUCUAGAAUAUGAUAGAUUCCACACAGAAUAGUAACCUACCUUCAUCACGCUUCCCUCACACGUAAAGUAUGCUGAAGAUCAAACCCCACCGACCUUCAUGCUCUUCGGUGAUAGUCAGGUAACCGUCACUGUUCUCAGCGUCUUUGCAAGGGGAUGGGUGGGAGCCCGUGGGGCCACUCCCCACUGACUGGUCCUCCUGGGGCGCUUGGGCCUGAUCUCAGUGGUUCCCGAGGCUCUGGCACCUUCCCAUGGUCAGGAACCCCUCCACUCCUGGCGCUGAAUUAGGUACUAGGUCCGCUGUCUUCACCUGACAUGCUGGAAAUAGGAGGCCUGGAAACCUUGUCAGCCUGUAGACUUUGGGUGGACUACCUUCAGGACCACAGCAGGGAGCUUGCCUGACAUCGUGUUGUCCACUCUGGUGAGCUUUCCUCCCCUGGCGGCUGAGCUGCCGAGAGGUCCUUCUGCCCCUGGGGCAGCAACAAAGCAUCACAGCCUUGGCCGCUGGCCCUACAUGGCCCCAGACACGUGGCCAGCAAGAGCAUCUGACGCGGACGAGCAGGCCCGAGGCGGACGGGCAGGCCCGACGGGGACGAGCAGGCCCGACGGGGACGGGCAGGCCCGACGGGGACGAGCAGGCCCGAGGC
RNAcentral lists this long non-coding RNA (850 nucleotides) under Capra hircus (goat). RNAcentral's name for it is "lncRNA (ENSCHIG00010004542.1)". The record is from RNAcentral. Lineage: Eukaryota; Metazoa; Chordata; Mammalia; Artiodactyla; Bovidae.